This 492-nucleotide ribosomal RNA is filed under the name uncultured bacterium. Its description in RNAcentral is "partial 16S ribosomal RNA". It matches the Rfam family "Bacterial small subunit ribosomal RNA", at positions 29 to 507 of the family's 1533-position model. The record is from RNAcentral.
AGUGAACGCUGGCGGUAGGCCUAACACAUGCAAGUCGAACGGCAGCACAGUAAGAGCUUGCUCUUACGGGUGGCGAGUGGCGGACGGGUGAGGAAUACAUCGGAAUCUACUUUUUCGUGGGGGAUAACGUAGGGAAACUUACGCUAAUACCGCAUACGACCUACGGGUGAAAGCAGGGGAUCUUCGGACCUUGCGCGAUUGAAUGAGCCGAUGUCGGAUUAGCUAGUUGGCGGGGUAAAGGCCCACAAAGGCGACGAUCCGUAGCUGGUCUGAGAGGAUGAUCAGCCACACUGGAACUGAGACACGGUCCAGACUCCUACGGGAGGAAGCAGUGGGGAAUAUUGGACAAUGGGCGCAAGCCUGAUCCAGCCAUACCGCGUGGGGGAAGAAGGCCUUCGGGUGGUAAAGCCCUUUUGUUGGGAAAGAAAAGCAGCAGGUUAAUACCCCGCUGUUCUGACGGUACCCAAAGAAUAAGCACCGGCUAACUUCGUG